Molecule: long non-coding RNA, 547 nt
Filed under: Homo sapiens (human)
Lineage: Eukaryota; Metazoa; Chordata; Mammalia; Primates; Hominidae
Description: HSALNT0089237
Source: RNAcentral
UUUCAGGGUAUAAGAAGAAAUCUAGGCUAUCCAUGGGCAUUCCCAGAAACAUCAAGGUUUGCUAAAAACAGAAAAUCGGAAGUAGAACAAAAAAAGCGGUGGGAAAAGCAUUUAAGACAUUGAGGCAAGCCGUGAGGAGUUUGUCAGUCUAAAGGUUGAGUAGAGGACCCUUAAGAAGAGGGAGACAAACAUUAAAUUUUCAACUUUCUGUAGUUUGAUAUAAUACUUUCCAAGUUCUAGGGUUUCAUUAAAACUUCACAAGCUUUUGGAUUUUUUAACAAAUAUUAGGGCUGUGCUUCAUGCUUGGGUUAAUAUGGGGUGAAUAGAAGGAACAGCUGGGGAAGAAGAGAUAAGAGACAGGUUCUCUAGUAGAAAUUAGGAGAAACGUAAGAAUCCUAUACAUCUGCGUAUAUUUGAGGAGUCUUUAGAGUUCACUGAAGUUCAUGGAUCGGACGUUAUAGCCAUUUUAAUGUAUUUUCAUUGUGACAGGAUUGACUUUAGAAGGCUUAAGAAUUUUGACGAAGAAAAAAGGGGAAAAAGAAGGCAU